RNAcentral lists this ribosomal RNA (600 nucleotides) under fungal endophyte. Its description in RNAcentral is "eukaryotic LSU rRNA". The stretch from base 175 to 328 matches the Rfam family "5.8S ribosomal RNA". The record is from RNAcentral. Lineage: Eukaryota; Fungi.
UACUGAGUUUACGCUCUAUAACCCUUUGUGAACAUACCUAUAACUGUUGCUUCGGCGGGUAGGGUCUCCGUGACCCUCCCGGCCUCCCGCCCCCGGGCGGGUCGGCGCCCGCCGGAGGAUAACCAAACUCUGAUUUAACGACGUUUCUUCUGAGUGGUACAAGCAAAUAAUCAAAACUUUUAACAACGGAUCUCUUGGUUCUGGCAUCGAUGAAGAACGCAGCGAAAUGCGAUAAGUAAUGUGAAUUGCAGAAUUCAGUGAAUCAUCGAAUCUUUGAACGCACAUUGCGCCCGCCAGCAUUCUGGCGGGCAUGCCUGUUCGAGCGUCAUUUCAACCCUCAAGCUCUGCUUGGUGUUGGGGCCCUACAGCUGAUGUAGGCCCUCAAAGGUAGUGGCGGACCCUCCCGGAGCCUCCUUUGCGUAGUAACUUUACGUCUCGCACUGGGAUCCGGAGGGACUCUUGCCGUAAAACCCCCAAUUUUCCAAAGGUUGACCUCGGAUCAGGUAGGAAUACCCGCUGAACUUAAGCAUAUCAAUAAGCGGAGGAAAAGAAACCAACAGGGAUUGCCUCAGUAACGGCGAGUGAAGCGGCAACAGCUCA